Molecule: non-coding RNA, 185 nt
Filed under: Oscillatoria sp. FACHB-1407
Lineage: Bacteria; Bacillati; Cyanobacteriota; Cyanophyceae; Oscillatoriales; Oscillatoriaceae
Description: 6S / SsrS RNA
Rfam family: 6S / SsrS RNA
About the family: E. coli 6S RNA was the first non coding RNA to be sequenced, but its function was unknown until recently.
Source: Rfam by way of RNAcentral
GUUCUACUGCGGCGUUGGUGACUGCCAAUAACGUUUUAUGAUCUACAACUCUACUCAUAAGGGGAGCAAGAUGUUUCAGUGGCAGUAGACUGGGCAAGUACCCAGAAACUUAAAACUGGAGCCAAGAACCCCACCUGGAUUUAUCCAGGUCAAAAACUGAGGUAAGACGGCGUUGUGGGGAACUC